RNAcentral lists this unclassified non-coding RNA (1251 nucleotides) under Hevea brasiliensis (rubber tree). The record is from RNAcentral. Lineage: Eukaryota; Viridiplantae; Streptophyta; Magnoliopsida; Malpighiales; Euphorbiaceae.
GACAAAAUGAAGUUGCAAGAGAGCAGUGCUUCUUUCUCUCUCUUCUUGAUAUUAAAUUCUUUCUUAUCUGGGCCUGCAUUUGCACAUCAAGUUACAUUUUAUGUGCACAACAAAUGCCCAUUUCCCGUAUGGCCAGCAACAGCAGCCAACAGAGGCCAUCCGGUAAUCGCAGACGGUGGAUUCUACCUACCCUCAGGUGAAACUCAACGCAUAGUUGCUCCCUGGGAUUGGAACGGCAGAAUAUGGGCUCGAACAGGCUGCAAUUUCAACUCCAAUUGGCAACCUGGCUGCGAAACAGGCGACUGCGAUGGACGCCUGGCCUGUAAUGGGCUAAUAGGCACACCUCCAGUCACUCUAGUGCAAAUCUCUCUCCAAGCAGACAAAAGCAAGCCAAAUUUCUACGACGUGAGCUUGGUUGAUGGAUACAAUCUUCCUGUUUCUGUCACGAAUAAGCAAACAUCACCUAAAUGCACCAUCGGUGGUUGCUCUAAAAGCUUGAAAAAUUGGUGCCCACAUGAGCUUCAAGUCUUGAACAAUAAUGGCGAAGUUGUGGCUUGCAAAAGUGCUUGCUUGGCUUUCAAUCUUGAUUCAUUUUGUUGCAGGAAUGACUAUGGAAGCCCUGAGAAGUGCAGACCAAACGUUUACUCAAAGAUAUUCAAGGAGGCUUGUCCAAGUUACUAUAGCUAUGCUUUUGAUUCACCUCCUCCAUUGGUCAAUUGUGCAGCCACAGAAUACUUCGUAACUUUCUGCCCUUCUUCGUGGGGCGGUGAGUACAAGUCUACAUAGCUAUGUGAAGGUGAUGGUAUGCCUAAUUAUAAAUAAUUAAUGUCGGCUUUAACUAGAAACUAAGGAAUGUUGGGUCUUGUGCAAUGAUGCUCUUUUUCCAAUAAUUAAUUAAUUAUAUUAAGCUUCUAUCAACUUUAAACUUUGCUUAAUUAUAUAAAACACUAAUCAUAUAUUAAUACAUCGUAUCUGGCAUGCACACGCAUAUACAUAUAUCUAUACUAUUUAUAACAUACAUAUAUAUCUAUACUAUAUAUAAAUAUGAAAAAGAAAAACAUUUGAUUUUGUCAAAAAUAUUCUUAUUUUUUACAUUAUUUAUAAUUAUAUUUUUUUGUUAUUUAAAUUUUAAUUUAAAAAAAUUCUUAAUUAGACUAAAUUAUCACGAGCAAGGUUUCCAAACUCAGCUUAAUCAUUAAAUCGUUGAAGACAGAGGAAUAAGAAUUUAAGGUUCAAUAGUGCCGAAUCGAG